UGACAGAAUUGUGUUGUUUGCAUGUUGGUAGUAUUUGUUUAGAAAAAAUACCUUUGUUUGCGAUUUUUGGAUACAAUUAAUUAUUUGAUAUUAUUAUGCUAUCAGGUUGUUUGAAGCACAGUGUUGUGUUGUCUUGUUAAUAGCAGAAGCUUUGACGAGAUAUUACCAGAAUGGGGAUGUUGGCUUGUCAGUAUUUUUGUUUUGCCAGAUAUAUUUUUUAUAGAUUUUGUUUUGUCGUGGACAGUAUUUUAUAUUUAUUUGUAUUAGGUUCGUGAUAUCAUGUUCUAAACAAAAUAGAUGUUAUCAAUUAGUCGGCAGUAUUGUAUAGAAAC
Molecule: long non-coding RNA, 332 nt
Filed under: Mytilus galloprovincialis (Mediterranean mussel)
Lineage: Eukaryota; Metazoa; Mollusca; Bivalvia; Mytilida; Mytilidae
Source: RNAcentral